AACUCCACCUUAAAAGAUGGAGGACAACAGAAAUGGUGUGAUUCACUUAAUUCUUCGUCUUCUGAGAGAAGAGAUUCAUCAGAUCAUUCCUCUCCUCCUCCUGCUAUUCUGAGGUGGAUGUAUCUUUGUAUGGAGAUAAUCUUUUAUUGUUGUUGGGAGUCUCACUUACUUGAAAUGGGUUCCUUCCAAUGUUCUUAUCUCCAGUUUUGAGUUAUAGCCAGUUUCCACGUCACACGCCCACAAGCUGGACCAAUGUCUGGGGAAAUCGCUGGAUGAUAUUCCUCAUUAUGAUUGGAUCUGGUUUGAUAAAGAUGAGAGGUGAUAGCUGUUGGAGGGACUUGACUUGUAUGAACUAUCAUUAUGAGGUUUGUACAUUGUAUAUUGUAUAGUGUAUGAUGCUUUAAUGUGGUGGAGUUUCAGUUUGACAUUUUGUGAUCUGAGAUUGAUUUAUAAUCAGCAUAA
Molecule: long non-coding RNA, 462 nt
Organism: Amphimedon queenslandica
Lineage: Eukaryota; Metazoa; Porifera; Demospongiae; Haplosclerida; Niphatidae
Exons: 3
Source: RefSeq, a predicted model, not a curated record